GCGCUUAUCGUGAAACUAGGCCAGCCUAAUCUCAACAAUCAACUUGAUAAUAAUAAGUUUGAACACAUUUGUGGAUGUUUUUAAUAGUUAAAGAACUAUUUGAAACAUAAGAAAUUCCAAGAAUAUAUACAAUCCAACCUAAAACCGAGGUGUCACUGAGUGUAUGAGCGUCUAAGGUAGAUACAUAAUCUAUCAAAGUGUCUAAGAACAAAUAGAAAAAUACAUCUAGAAAUGAGAAGGAGAGCUAAGGCCUGCGAACGCCAUGCAUAUACCUCAACAACUCCACAGCAUGCGACCUCGAUCAAUGGCUGCUACUGGGACCAUAGAUUCCUGGAUCUACACACAAGGUGCAGGGGGUAACGUGAGUACACCAACUCAGUAAGUAACAAGCCAAAACUAUGGAUUGAGAAGUAGUGACGAACUCAACCUCAUCAAAAGAUAAAUAGGAAUAUCGUACAGGAGAGUAAGNNNNNNNNNNNNNNNNNNNNNNNNNNNNNNNNNNNNNNNNNNNNNNNNNNNNNNNNNNNNNNNNNNNNNNNNNNNNNNNNNNNNNNNNNNNNNNNNNNNNNNNNNNNNNNNNNNNNNNNNNNNNNNNNNNNNNNNNNNNNNNNNNNNNNNNNNNNNNNNNNNNNNNNNNNNNNNNNNNNNNNNNNNNNNNNNNNNNNNNNNNNNNNNNNNNNNNNNNNNNNNNNNNNNNNNNNNNNNNNNNNNNNNNNNNNNNNNNNNNNNNNNNNNNNNNNNNNNNNNNNNNNNNNNNNNNNNNNNNNNNNNNNNNNNNNNNNNNNNNNNNNNNNNNNNNNNNNNNNNNNNNNNNNNNNNNNNNNNNNNNNNNNNNNNNNNNNNNNNNNNNNNNNNNNNNNNNNNNNNNNNNNNNNNNNNNNNNNNNNNNNNNNNNNNNNNNNNNNNNNNNNNNNNNNNNNNNNNNNNNNNNNNNNNNNNNNNNNNNNNNNNNNNNNNNNNNNNNNNNNNNNNNNNNNNNNNNNNNNNNNNNNNNNNNNNNNNNNNNNNNNNNNNNNNNNNNNNNNNNNNNNNNNNNNNNNNNNNNNNNNNNNNNNNNNNNNNNNNNNNNNNNNNNNNNNNNNNNNNNNNNNNNNNNNNNNNNNNNNNNNNNNNNNNNNNNNNNNNNNNNNNNNNNNNNNNNNNNNNNNNNNNNNNNNNNNNNNNNNNNNNNNNNNNNNNNNNNNNNNNNNNNNNNNNNNNNNNNNNNNNNNNNNNNNNNNNNNNNNNNNNNNNNNNNNNNNNNNNNNNNNNNNNNNNNNNNNNNNNNNNNNNNNNNNNCUGGGGUUGUAAAGACUCCGGAGGGGUUUCCCUGAGCCCAAUUACUAUAUCAAUGCCAGCAAAGGCAUGAUCAAUAUCUUGCUGCAGCAUGCAGCCCGAUCCCAUAUUGUCAAUUAAUAUCAGGCUCUCGGCCUCACUCAGUUAAUACUCUCUAGUCUCCCACACACACGGGCUUAAAAUGUCAUGAUACUAGCCCGAACAAUGAUAUGAUAUGUCAAAUAGCAAUAAUUGAGACUGAGGCAUGAUAUAAUAUGCAUGGACAGGACUGGGUAUAAAUAUAAUUGAAGCUAAUGAAAUGACAGCAAGAAAUGACCUCUCGGGCCUCAACAGUAUUGGCGUGAAGCCUUAACAUAAUAAUUAGCAUGAUUUGCAGCUCAUUAACAUAACCACAUAAUUACAACAUAGAUAUCAGCAUAAAAGAGUCACUAAGCGGUGCCAUGGAAUGAUCCAGACCGCAUUCCUCACGGUGCACGCCCACAUGUCUGUCACUUGGCGUUUGCGUCACCUCAAUUGUAAUCAUAGAAUACAUAGUUCGGGGUUUCGAACCCUCAGAACCAAGUUUGGAAGUGUUACUUACCUCAAACUAAGCCAAACUCUAGCCCGUGAUGCCUUUUCCUAUCGAUUCAGCCUCCAAAUGCCCCGAAUCUAACAAAAAUCAGAACCAUAACAUCAAUAUAUGCUAAGGGCAUAAUGCUCGCGCAAAAAUAAUCAAAUUUCAUCACAAAUCCCAAAAUUGGUCAAAUCUGACCACCGGACCCACAUCUCAUAUUCCGAUAAAAUUCAUAAAACUAGAAUCCUUACACUCUCACGAGUUCAUACAUACCAAGAAUAUCAAAAUCCGACCACAAAUGACCCCUCAAAUUCCUAGAUUAAAGUCUCCAAUUUUCAAGCCCUAAACCCCUAAUUUUUGCUACUAAUUUUCAUAGAUUUCAAGCUUAAUCAAUCAAAAACCAUUAUAGAAAGAAGUUUUUGGUUCCAAGAAUCUUACCUCCAUGAAGUUCCCUUGAAUUCCCUCUUCAAAAUCGCCCACAAGCUCCAAUCUCGGAUAAAAAUGGUGAAGAACAAUUCAAAAAUUGCGAAGGGCUAAAUUUAUAUGUUCUUCCCCAGCUAAACUGCUUCUGCAAUUGAAUUCUUGCACUUGCGGUCCUAGGUGCACAUCUGCUGAAUUCACUUAACCGCCCAAGGACCGCACCUGCGAUCAAAAUCCCGCACCUGCGUUAUCGCAGGUGCGCUCAAACAUCCUCAUCUGCGGUUCCAGCUCCUCUCGCCCAUUUCCGCGUCUGCGGCUCCCCUUGCACUUCUGCGGGACCGCACCUGCAGUCCCCAAUCCGCAGGUGCGGUUAUGAUAGAAAACUCAGCAGCUGAAGCUGCUCAAACAAAUUUCCAAACUUCCCGUUAACCAUCUGAAAUCAUCCCAAGGCCCCUGGGACCUCAACUAAAAGUACGAACAAGUCACAUUACACUAUUUAAACUUAUACCAAUCUUUGGAACAUUCAAAAUAACAUCAAAACAUCAAAACACCAUCGAAUUCAAGCCUAAGAAUUCCAAACCUUCCAAAUUCUGCUCUCGAUCAAAUAGUCUAUCAACCCUCGUCCGAAUGACCUAAAUAUUUUGCACACACAUCCCAAAUGACACAACAGACCUAUUCAAAUUUUCAGAAUUCCAUUCCGACUCCUAUAUCAAAAUUUUCACUACCAACCGUAAACUCCAAAAUUCUAAUUUAGAAGUGAGGUGUGGAACUGCAAAGUUAAGGAGGUAUGAUUUCUCUCCUUUCUCUCUAGAAUUCAUGUGAAUAGUAUUUUUGUCACCAUUUUCAGGCCAUAAUUCCGGCAUCCGGUGGUGGAAUUAACCAAACUUGGUGUCAAAAGAUACAUAUUGUCUUUACGAUUAACAUCCAAUUGAUUUCACCUUCAGAUCUAUAGUCAUUCUUUAUAGAUCGUAAUUUUUUGUUGCUAGUUACUGUAGCAUAUAAUCGCUAUUGUAGCGAACUGGGCAGCUUCUUCAUUUCUGUCUUUUGCGCGAUGGUAUGCUGAAACAAUUACGUAAUAGAGCCCUUCCAUGGCAGCCAAUGUCUCUCCCCAGCCUUUGGUUGUGGGAGAGAAGAAUUCAAACUCUAAGGAAGUUAUUCCAAACAUUAACAACAUUAGUACAUAUGCAGCAAGUUUGAAUCAAAAGCAAUCUACCGUAUCUCUCACAAAAACGAGUUUGAAACCUUUUGCAAUUAUUCAUGGAGUUCCUACGAUUCAAUUUUCCAUGGAUGAAGGUGAAGAAUUUGUAAAGGAGGAAGGAUUACAUCAAGCAGUGAUGAUAAAGCUGUCCAGCAGCGCACCAAAUUUACAGAUUUUAAGGAGUAUUCUGCCGAAAAUCUUUGGUAUCAAAGGUAAUUGCUUGUUAGGUUCAUUGGCUCCAAGGCAAUUUUUAAUUCGUUGUGAUCAACAUGAAGAUUAUGUGGCUUGUUUGGCAAGAGCUGUAAACUACUUUCAACAUAAUGGAAGUGAGCAUCAAUAUAGAGUAUUCCCAUGGAGUGUUGGAUAUAAUCCAAACAAGGAAACCUCGAAGGUGGCUGUUUGGAUUUCGUUGCCGAAUUUGUCGCCUGAACUAUUUGCUCGUAAACCUUUACUAUCCAUUGCAGCUGCUGUUGGAAAACCAAUUGCAAUUGAUAAGGUGACACAAGUUAGAUCACAUCCUAGCACAACAAGAGUCAAGGUUAUCAUUGAUGUACUGGACAAACUUCCUGAAAAGAUUAGACUUCAAUAUCUUGAAGUUAAAACAGGUAAGAUUGUUGAGGAUUACCAGGAAAUUAUCUAUGAUAACUUACCUUCGUAUUGUUGCCAUUGUAAGCAUCAAGGACAUGAAGAAAAUUAAUGUCGACUCUUAAAAGGAAAGGCAGUUCAAGUUGCUCGUGUUUAUGACGAAACAGUUGAGAAUGAACAUCAAAUAGGUGGAAAAUUACAAGGUGAUGCAAGAGAUUUUUUGAAUGCUAAGAGAGCCAGGACACAACUUAUAGAAGGAUCAGGAAGUGAUAAGAAUGCAAGGCGGCAAGUGUGUGAUGUUUUGAGUAAAUGAGCUGAUGCUACAAGUGUUAGAGAUGCUUUGCAAGUACAAAAAACUGAUGCAACUGAUAAGUUUGGUCCUGCUGAUGCAGGGCAAAAUUCUGUUUCUGGGCAGCAGCAGUUUUUGAAGAUGUAACCUAGUGAAGUUAAAAUUAACAUGGCAAAUGUAGGACAUUAUCGUGAGGGGGUUCUGACUUCUGUUGCAAUUGAUCAAAAUUCUGUGACGCAAGCUAAAAUAGGUGUGGGUAAUGUGGAUUAUAUAGGAGCUCGAACAAAGUUAAAGGAGGCCUUAAAAAGGCCUGAUAUUGUAGGAACUGUUCCUACUGUUGCAUCAGAGGAAGAGGGUGUAGCAGGUUAUGGGCAGAAUGAUCUUAAGGUGCAGCAAAUUGAGAGAACUAAGAGUGGAGUAUCAUCUAAAAAUCCUAGAGAUACAAAGGGUGCAACUGGUGCAUCAGGGGUUGGAACUGAUGGAGCAACCAGUGCUAAGCAUGCAGCUAAUAUGCUAGUGUUUGAUCGAGGUUCAGCUAGUGUUUGUAAGGGUCCAAGUGUCGGGCAAAAAAAUUUAGCUGCUGUUGAACUAGCUGAUAAAUCAGCAAUAGCACUGUCAGAACUGGACAAAGCAGGAGCAGAAACAGUUGAUGCUACUGUGGUAGACCAAAUUUUGAGACUGCUCAAAUUACUGCUGCACUUAGUGCUAAACCUUCUCCUGCUGCUCAAGUUGAACCUACUGCACAAAUUGAGAAGGCAAAGGAGGAUCGAGUUCCAGCUAUUAAUGCAGAGCAGAACAUAACUACAGGUGUGGCAUCAGGUCAUGGAAUUGCUGAUGAGGUACUGCAGCUGGAGCAGGAACAAGUUGAGGAAACAAUUGUAGAUGUAAUGCAAUUGGAGUGUGCAGCUGUAGUGACUAAUCAACCUCAACUUUCAGCUGGAAUGAAGCAAACAACAACAGAGUUUCGGAAACCAGCUUCUACUCUGAAAACAACUGUGGAUCGAACAACUACUAAGGCUGAAAAAUCAAGGGGCAAAGGUACUGCACAGGUACCACACAGAAAAAGCCAAUCGGCAACAUCUGAAACUGUAGGUUUGGAGUGUGAAGUUACUGGUGUUGUAACAACAUCAGCAGCAGCUGUACCAACUAGUGAAAAAUAGGAUAUUGCAGUCAAUGCUCCAUUGCACACAACUGGGGAGUAUGUACACACAGAGGGGCAAGAUGUUAGUGGUGUCAAUGUUGAACAAGUUAUGCUUUUAGCUUAUAAAGCUACUGAUGGUAACAAGGAAGGACAGAGCAAACAAAAAACUGGCCAAGGCAGCGAGCUAAUGCAUAAACAAGAGCACAACUCCAAUACUCCAACAUUGCAUUUUUCCAGUCCGCAUGUGGAAAAAAUAAUUAAAGAUGCACAGGCCGCAAUGGUGCUGAAUACUACUAUGGCUAGACAACCAUUAGUCACCUUGAAUACUUUUGUGUUUGAGGUACCUUCACAGUCAAUAGAGUCGUUUGGUGAAUAUGGAGGCGAACCUGGACAGUUGCUAUUAUCAACAGCAAACACCAAUGAAAUUGCUCAAUCAGCUUCAAUAGAGAUGGUUAGAAAAUCCAAAAAAUGGGCUGCCAAAUAUAAUGAACAAUCUAAAGGAAUUGAAGAGGGGAAUAGGGGGAUUGAAAAUGAUCUUGCUGCAAUUUCUGUGCACGAACAUCAUGAAGCAACACCAACUCCAACCAAUGCACACCAUCUCAAUACAACAACCUCAACCUCAAAGACAACAACAAAGAAAAAAAAGAUGCAGCAGACAGCAAAACAUUUGCAUUGUGAGCAGUUUGAGGAGCAGAUCACAACAAGUCAAGCAUGCAUAAAGGAGAACGAAUUGCUGCAGUUUUCCAGCCCUUGCGUGGAAAAUAUUAUCGUGGAUCCCAUGAUCAAGCAACCUUUGGUCACUUUGUCAAAUUCAAUCACCUGCUCAAAUUUGAAAAGGGAACAGGAAAAUGGUCUUAAACUAAGGUUUCGAUUUGCCAGCCAUCGUGUGGAAAGAGUUAUCAAGGAUGAACUUCAAAUGCUAUAUUUUGAGAAUACUUUGACUAGAAAAUUAAAGAACAAGUUGGAGGCUCCAGAUUUCAUUCCAAGUAAGCCUCUUUGUCGCACAUGUAUUCACCACCUAGAUACACCACCAAACACUGUGGAGGACCACAUUUGAACAAGCAAAGCAAGUGCUAUCUGGAUGAAAAUUGCAACAAGGUCCGACAAGGAAGCAAUUGUUAGGCGACCUCCAAUGAGAGCGGCCAAACAAAAACAGGUUGCCUCAACUUCGUCGGCGAGGUCCAAACGGUCAAAAAAUAGACGAUGAUUCUUGAAUACUUUUUGAACAAGGUAGAUAAAAACGACAAAGAAGUAAAAAUUGAAGAUUUUACAAGGUUGGAAGAAAAGGGACAACAAUCAAAUGGGUACUACAUUUUAUUCUACCACUUUAUUAGUAUCCUCAUCUGUAAUAUCAUCACAGAGUAUGUUAUAAACUCUGUGAUGAUCAUAGAACAUUUGGUCCUUUCAAGUUCAUAUUUUUUACAUUCUUGUUAAUAGGCGAGGUUGACAAGCCUCAAUAGGAUUAGUACAGUAAGGUUAGCCCGGUUUGUGUUAUAUGGGUAAUAAUACCGGUGCUAUUGUCCCCCUUAUUUGUAUUUUUCCUAAUUGAUGUAUUUUUCUUUUCUGUUAUUAAUAAAAAACUAGUCCUAGGCACUUGCCUAGUGGAUUGCCAAAAAAAUAUUCUAAUUUCGCCAAAUCAAGCCAAAUUCUACCACGAACCAUCAAAAUACAUUCUAAACUUUCCCCUAAGUCCAAAAUCAACCGACAAAGCUAUUCGAACCAUAAAACCCAAGUUCCGAGUCCAUUUACUUACAAGUUAACUUUCGGUUGACUCUUCCAACUUUAUAAUCAACUUAAGAGACUAAGUGUCUCAUUUCUCUCUACCAUCAUUCCGAACUUGAUCCAAUCAACUCAACACAACAUAAAAGAGUUGAACCAUAUAAAAUGAAGCAAAAAUGGGGGAAACAGGGCUAAAACUCUCGGAACGACCGAUCGGGUCAUUACAUUCUCCCCCACUGAAACAUACGUUCGUCCUCCAAUGUGCCCAGAGUUAUUCCAAAAGCCAGCAAAUCAUUGUAUUACCUUACCAUGCACAUACUCAGGGGUGAUCCCACGUCACCAUAUCCCAUAUAGGUCUGAUAACACAACAUAACUGAAAUUUUACAAUCUAACUUUGCCUAUUACCCUUAGAACCAAAUUUCCACUUCCGAAAUUAUCUAUAAGAUUAGAAUAUCACAUCUACACACCGAAUAAGUCCAAACAAGUUGUAUCAACCAUAUCCAUACCCAAGAUGCAAUUACAUGAUAUACCACAUAACUCAGACACUUGUAACAAUAACUUCUAAUCAGAGCAAUUGCUCAAAACAACUGAAUACCGAUAGUAAGCCUCUUAUCAAUCAAAGCCUCAUUCCAACACUUUUGUACUUCUAACGAUGAAUGAAACAUGUAGAAAAUCAUAACCAUUCCUCAGCUCAACUAGUCGUGGAGCUCCCUCUCCUUCGGCAAGGACCAUAGUAAAUUUCUAAACCGAAUCCUGAUAUUAUCCUUCCAACAUGCUGAAAUCGAAUCUGAUAGUAUCCAUUCUAGAUCCCAAUGACCUCAUCUUAUCCAACACGACUACUCUAGUGACAUGACAAAUUGAUACGAUCUAAAUCCACAACUCGUGUGACCCGCGCACCAAUAAGCAACAGUCCGAAUGUAAAAUCAUGGAAAGAUGACUCAAAUGAGAGAGUCGUAACGCAAGCUCACCAGUACCACCCCAACGCAAUACUGAGAACCCACCACACAUCGUAGAACAAGAACACACAAAUUUAACCCAAAGGAUCAUACCACCACAUAACCUCGCUACAGUGCACGACCUUAUUCGAACAAUGGUCUACAAGAAACACCUCAAGUCACUAUGCUCAAAAUCAACAACCACGUGUAAUUUGCUGUCCAGAACAAAAAGCAAAUCAUCAUAACCACAACAAAGCAAAAUGACAAGACACCACACAAACCCAAAAGGACACAACAAAUAUGCGAUCCACCAAGCAAUACUCAAUACUCUUCCUGCUCGAAUUCCACUAUGAGACCCCAAUAGAACCACACCAUAUAUUCCUAUAACCAAUAAAUCAUAACGCCCCACAACACGGAAAUGUAACUCAUAGAUCUUCCCCAGAACACUAAUAAGCUCAAUAACAAUCGAAUCAACACAUGCCUCAACAAUAGUAACUCGGAGUCAACAAGGUCGACUCGAUGCAGAACGCACAUCCAUAUUGACCUACCAAUGAACCCCUUAUCAAGGAGUUCCUAAAGAUGCUCCUUCAACUUCUUUAACUUUGCUAGUGCCAUACGAUAUGGUGCCCGGCCACCAAAUCAAUACCAAAAUCAACAAUCAUGUCCGACAACAUGCCCGACAACAGGAAACACAUACAAAAAAAUCCCUUACCACCGGAACCAAAUCAAUGAUAGGAUUCUCUGCACUGACAUUCCUCACAAAGGCCAAAUAAUAAAGACAACCUUCCCAACCAUCACCUGGGUCUUCUAAAAUGAAAUCACUACAUUGGGAACAUAACCCGUCGAACCUCGCCACUCAAUCUGUGGCACCCCCGGCAUAGCCAACGUCGUCGUCUUAGCGUAAUAGUCUGGCAUAGCAUGACACGGAGACAACCAAUCCAUACCCAAUAUCAAAUCAAAAUUCACCAUACUAAGCAACAAAAGAUCCACUCGGGUCUCCAAACCCCGAUAGAUACCACAUAGGCCGAAAAACACGGUCUAUAACCACAAUAUAACCUGCUUAUGAGAACUCCCAAUCCCCUAAUCCAUAAAGCGUAUGAUCAUAAUAUCUGACCCCAACUCCACCGCUCGAGUAUGUACCACACCUCUAAUACUCAAUCAUUCCGCGAGGGAUACUCCUAUAACUCUUCUGUGCCACCAAGCAACUUGAAUAUCAGUAGUCUAACCAACAAGAGAGCGCCACAAUAUCAAUGAUGUACCCUUAACUCAAACACAUUGCCCUUUCUAAAAUGUUUACCCUCAUUAAGCCACACAAUUCAUAAUAUUAUUUGCCUAAUCAUUUGAAACUGCUCGUGCUGCCUAAGAAUUUAUGACCUUUCUUUCAUAACUGAAUUGUGACCUCUCACAUGCCCAUCUCAACCCUACACAACAUACCGCAUAUACCAUGUCUUCCUAUGACAAAUUGCGUACUCUACUAGCCAAGAACUUUCCAUUUGAUCUAAUCUAGAAGAAAAUUGCUAUACAUCAUAUGCCCCUCUAGCCAGUAGAAAUUAUACAUCUCUAACCAUGGUAGAAACCAUCAAGAAUUCCCCGAAUCCCAUUUGCACAAAACCAAACCAUCAGAACUGAAUCUUCCUAGCUUAACCAAGCCACGCAAGCCACCGAAAACCCAAGAGCAUUGCCACGAUACACCUGUAGAAACUUAUUACCUCAUAAGCACCCAAGACUCACCAUACGAGACUCAAGCAUGAAACCACACUAUCCUAAGGCUCAUAAGCCACUGACUACUCUCUAUAAUAACCCUAAAAGCACCACAUUCGAAAUUCUUACCCUGAAGAGACUUCCUGUGAAUCUAAAGCUAUUACCUUCACCUUCCUGAUACUAAUGUGUAGAAUCCAUAAUGAUAUAGAAAUACCACAAGUCUUGACACCCUCCAAUGUAAACUUCAGUUUCUGACCAAAUACCUUUCCUAAUGAUCUCCAAUUAUUACAUAUAAGUCUUGAAUCCAUUAAAACCACCCCCGGGAGUCAUCCACUCUACUUAGGUUUCAAUUUAACUGAUCAACCGAACCGAACGACCUGUGCCCACUAGAACAGCAACACCUAUGGAAGUAACCCCACUUUAAUGCAACCAAAUAAAUUCUUGUUCUAUGCACCAUACAUCCCUCACCAUUAACAACUCAAGUCACUCUGUGAUUCUCAUUCGCCCGUAAAGCAUGACCUAACCUUUAUUAAAAUUUCCUUUACUCGAGCCAUCCUCGAUCUCAAUCCCUGCAAGCCAUAACUGAUUCACUAAUAUACCUCAAACUUAAACCAAUACAACACAUAAUCGUGCAAUCAACUAAUCAAUAGCGGACUCCCCACUUGACUCAAAGCCAUAGGUCAAAACACAAAGAACUAGCAAUGCCCAUACUCUACUACUGCCAUUAUACCGUGCUGAGAUUAAACUAAAUCCUUCAUAAGCUCGUGCAACACAAACCAUCUAGUACUUCAAAUCAUCUACAAAUCUUAUAUUCAUCCUCAUAACAGACAAUCACACUCUUUUAAGCGAUCCAAAUUGAAAUUGCAAUACAUAUAUUUCGCUAGUAAUAGAGAUCUCGCUACAAAACACCAUAUGGAUCACACAACUUCAGGACACUUCGCAGGAAAUAACCCACCUACUUCGCCUCAAACUAACAUCUAUUUAUACCCUUCCACUGUCAUGAACAUCAUGCAAUCACAUGAUUUUCCUGAGUUUAACCUCAUAUCAUAACAUGAAAUCUAUUUCACUCCCCGACUAGACAACAUGAGAUAAUCCUUCAACACACCCAUAACUCGGGGCUAUACAUCAAAUCACAAUAGAAAUCAAACACCAAAUUGUUCUUUCUACCCUCAAGAAGACCCUUCUCGUCACAGUCAAAUCAUAUGAACACAUCUCACAGUCACAUCAUACUCAUCACAUAUCCAUCCAGUCAUCACUUCCACUAAUAGGGACAAUAUCGAACAUAUGAAUCCAGAAGCAUGUGUACACAUAAUCAACACCUCAACGCUCAAACUAUAGGAAAACUCUGGCCUCAAGUCCUCCAAACUGGCCCCAACAUCAACACACAGAAAUCAUAACUCGCCCUUCGAUCAGGGGAUUACAAGCCGUUGAUGCACAGCUGAUACCGAGCUCUCAUGCAUUCACAUGAAGGCAUGGAAGGAAUUCAAAGAGUUAAGCUGAAUCAAUGACACAUGAUAGGAAUUCAAGAAAGUGAAGUUUAUUUCCUAAAGGUUCUAUACCCUCUCGAAGAUAAGUACAGACAUCUUUGUACUAAUAUGUGAGACUCUACUAAACCCGCUCAUGACUCGUGAGACCUAUGUAAUCUAGGCUCUGAUACCAACUUGUCACGACCCAAAACUUGACCCGUCGUGAUGGCGCCUAUCGUGAAUCUAGGCUAGCCUCAACUCAACAAUCAACCCGAUAAUAAUAAGUUUGAAAACAUUUAUGGAAGCUUUUAAUAGUAAAAGAACUAUUUGAAACAUAAGAAAUUCUAAGAAUAUAUACAAUCCAGCCCAAAUCCGGGAUGUCACUGAGUACAUGAACGUCUUAGGGUUUCGGAAUUUCUUUUAAAACGUUGUUUGAUGAUUCUUUGUGUUUAAACUUCUGAUUCUCACACAUUUUGGCUAAUUUUAUGAACCUGCUAUAACCCUAGUCCAUUUGUACUGAAAACCCUAACGUUUUGGGGUUUUUCGUUUGGUUUCUGAUAUGGGUACUUCUAACUGUGUUCUUGCCUUAGUUUCUUGUGACUUCUCAUGAUUUACCUGUCCUAGUAUGCUUCUAUUGAAUCUUCUUAGUUCAAACUUUCACUGAUAUUAUGAACUUGUCUUUGUACUCGCCAUUCAUGCAAAACUUGUAUGCUUCUCUUUGAAUCAGUGCCGUUUAACCAUGGGUUUUGUCAAGGCUGUGUUAAAUAAUGACUGUUCAUGCCUUACCUCAUUUUAUAUGCUAAGCAUGUUGCUUCUUUCAUGAUUUUAUGAACCCUUGAUUACUCUGAAUCCCUUAUUUUUUGGUUUAAUUUGACUAAUUUCCUUUAAACAUUUGAUUCUUGCUUCUUUACUCAAUUUGAUUGAUUUGCUUGACAUAAUUAAUUUUCCCUUACCUUGUCUGCAUUAUUACUUAAUUCUUACUGAUUAUUUCCCUAAUUAGAACUUUAUGUACCUAGCCCUAAUUACAUGUUAUGUACUUGCACUAUUUGAAGUCUUUUCUUAUUUGUUAUACUCCAGCUAUGUAUGAUUUCUUUCCUUACAUGUCACAUGCUCUUUACCGUUUGAACUAAUUCCCUUAAUUAAGGGGAGACUUGUACUAAUUUUACUUUAAUUGAUUCCGGAUUCUCCAAUCACUCAACAAUUUGAUUCUUACCUUAUUUACCUAGCUUUCAAACUACUAUUUAUAUGCUUUCUUCUACUCUCAUUAUAUAGAACAUGGAGUUCAAAAAAAGCACAUUUACACGUUAAAAGUUCUCUUUCUCUUCUGCUAUUUGUGAUACUUGCUGAUCUAGCUGGCUGAAAGCCAAGGCUAGACAUUGGAACUUUGUUUGCUUCAUAUCCUGCACCUUUCUUCAACUGGUAUGCUUCUAAUUAAGUUUUGAGAUUCAAACCCUAUGUGUUUUCAUUCUUGCACUAGUUCAUCAGUUAUGAGUUCAAUUUCUUGCCUACUUCUUUACUCGACAUGUCUAAAAUCUGCCUGUUCAAUGUAUCUUUACAUUCUUCACUCUUUCUUGCUUACUUUCUUGCCUAGCAUGUCUAAACUUUUGUGCACUCUGUCCUAUUUAUUUCUUUGCCUAGCAUGACUAAUCUGUUAAAGUCCCAAUGUCCUAAGUGAUGUAUGCAAUUUGUGAGUAUAUGUUUCAUUUAUCCCUAUCUAUGUACCCUAAUGUGAUUCUUGUGUGCCACCAUUCUCAUAUGAGAUCUGUUUGUUAAGUGUUCUUUUCUUAAGUCUGAAUGUCUCUUAUGACCAACCAAUUGUUUGUUGUUUUGGUACUCUUCUCAAACUGUCUUUUACUACUAAGUUGUUCCUGUUUUUGAAAAAACCUUUAUACUUCUGAAGCCAUCCUUGUACUAUUUUUAAAACAAAUUAUGUCAAGCACUCUCCACCACUUCUAGAAUAUUUAGGUCCUGCCCCUCUGGCAUGUGUAAUACCUUGAGAUCCAUGAGAUUUCUCUGAACUCUGGCAUGUCAGAGCUAGCAUAUCCAUACUGCACUUGAAUCAGUUAUUGUUUGAGUAAAAGUCUAGGAUUGAGCACUGCCCGAGAUCUUUGAGAUCCUUAGGGAACUCUGAUGCACCUAUACAAUGAUAUUGUCUAUGGAACUGUGGCAUUUGAGGCUAUUGGAGGCUUGGGGAAGUCAUUGGUCCUGCUUCAGGCUCCCUAUAGUUAACUUCUUCUUUUCUUUAUUGUUUAUGUAAUUUAUUCAACUAGUCUGUAAUAAUUAUUUGUAAACAACUUUGGGGUGAUUCGUGAAAAAGGGUGGGUAGCUACAUCUUUUGGGAAAUUUGUGUAGAGACCAUGCCUAUACUAUUGUAUUAGUGCACUUGAUAUGUUUACUUUCACAACAUUAGAGAUCAUGUCUAUAGGAUUUAAAUAGAUUCAAUAAUAGAGACCAUGUCUAUAGGUUUAAAAUCAACUUCAUAAUUAAAUAUCAUGCCUAUAGAGUGUAAAGUGAUUGAGUUCAAUUCUUCUACUGCAUGUAUUUACAUUUGUCUCACUAAAAUCAUGCCUAUAAGUUCCAACAUCAGCUCUUAAUAAUUAGAUACCAUGCCUAUAGGAAUAAAAAUAAAAAAUCCUGCCUAUAGAGCCUAAAAUCAAUUUAGUUAAACAAAUCGGUCUAAUUCAUGUUAGUUCCUUUUGAAUUGGCUUAAACCAACUGUCUAUUUCUUUGAACGAAUUUUCGAACACUACCUUAAUCUACUAUCACUAGAAAGCAUGCCUAUAGGAUCUCAAAUAUCCGUUUUAAAACUGUUUGCUAUUUUACUGCAUCAAUAUAGAUACCAUGCUCUUACGACACUAUUGUUCUGUGUUUAGGCAAGCCUAUAGGACGAUUUCAAAUUCUGCAACUCUGAAACUGUGUUUUGCUACUUAAUACUGUCCAGAUUCAAUAGAGUUAAAUUAGCAGGCGAUUUAAAUAGGAUUCUCACACAUUGUCCUUAUUCAACACUGUAUAACCCCUGCUCACCUAGAUAUCAUGUUCUAGGAUUUUCUCUUAAGUACUUGAAUGUUGUUUAAAGACGUACACUUACUUGUUAUGUUUGAGGAGGUAACUAUGAGCCUAUAACUUGUUUCUUUAAAUGCAGCCCUAACUAUUCUUGAUUGACGCCUAGAUUUUUAUCCUUUUAAAACCUUAGGAAAGUCUAGAACUGUCCAAAGAAUAGGGGUCCUAAAAUACCUCCAGGGCCACAAGGAAGGGACGGGUAGUGCACGCAUAGGACAUUGUCAAGGUUGCUAGAACGUUUUAGGCUAUGACCAACGGGAGGGACUUGGGUAGAAAGGGAUAUGAUGACUAUGCGCUAAUAUCACAUGUAUCCUCUCAUUGAGAAGUGUUUACCGGACAUUGCGUGGGGUGAUCUUGUAGGCUAACCAACCAAAGACCCCUCCUUCCCAAAUUCCCUUCGCUUAAACUUUACUUUUCUAUAUGAACACAGUUUGUUCAAGUCUUUCCUUUGUCUCAUUAUCUGAGUCAUGUAAUGUCCAAAAACCCGCUCGUAUUUGUAAUUAUGUGUUUAAAUUAUUUAUUUGUUAAAGGACUAGUUCAUCAGUAUAAGUUCUGCCGGAACCUACCGUUGUGGACUAAGAGGGGUGCCUAACACCUUCCCCUCCAGGUUAUUUUGAGCCUUUACCCUAAAUCUCUGGUAAUGCAAACCAAUCCAAGAGUUAUCGCUCUGGGUGCCCUAACACACCAUAAUCUAUUAGGUGGAAACUCUUCAAAACCCAAAUUCCCAAAAGAAAAUUAGUUAUUACCCUCAUGAAUGUCAGAACCUAGACUUUCUCUGCAAAAGGAAAAAAAGGGGGGCCCAACACGGUUAACUAUGCAAGCCAGACCAUGAAUGAUGCCCAAGUCAACUCCACAGUGACCAAAAAAGAACUCCUUGCUAUUGUCUUUGCGAUGGAGACACUCCACCUGUACUUGAUGGUUACAAAGGUGAUUGUUCAUACCGACCAUGCGGCGCUUCGGUAUUUGAUGAGCAAGAAAGAUUCUAAGGCAAGAGUUGAUGUGGUGGGUGCUUCUAUUGCAAGAGUUUGAUCUAGAGAUUCAAGACCGCAAGGGUAGUGAAAAUAAAGUAGCGGACACUUGUCCUGAUUGCAGGAGGAGGGGAGGCCAUAUAACAGCCUUAAGAUCAAUGAUUUAUUUCCCCACGAGGAACUCCUAGUCAUUUCAAUGACCGGGAUGCCAUGGUUCGCCGACUUAGCAAACUAUUUUGUGAUUGGAAUUGUACCGAAUGAGUUCUCUUCAAAUCAAAGGAAGAAGCUCAAAUGGGAUUGCCUUGACUAUUAUUGGGAUGAGCUAUACAUCUUCCGGUUUUGUACCGAUAGUGUGAUCCGACGAUGUUUACCGGAUGAGGAACAAGUGGGUAUUCUUGAGGCUUUCCACUCUUUACCGUAUGGUGGUCAUCAUCGUGGAGUAAGAACGGAGGCAAAAGUUUUGAGUUGUGGAUUAUAUUGGCCUACUCUGUACAAGGAUGCUAGUGAGCUUGUCAAGUGUUAUGAUGAAUGCCAAAGGGCCGGUGGGAUCUCAAAGAAGAAUGAAAUGCCUCUCACCACUAUUUUGGAAAUAGAUAUUUUUGAUGUGUGGGGUAUUGAUUUCAUGGGUCUUUUUGUUAGCUCUUGUGGGAACACCUACAUUCUAGUCAUGGUUAAUUAUGUGUCUAAGUGGGUCGAGGUCGUUGAUUUUCCCAAAAAUGAGGCGAGGAGUGUGGUGGCAUUCUUGAAGAAGAGCAUUUUUACAAGAUUCGGUACUCCAAGGGCCAUUAUUAGUGAUAGGGGUUCAUAUUUUUGCAACAAGGCUUUUGAUACCUUACUCACAAAGUAUGGUUCCACUCCAAAGUAUCGACCCCCUACCAUCCUCAAGCAAACGGACAAGUUGAAGUCUCCAACCGGGAGAUCAAGAGUAUUUUGUCAAAGAUAGUGAAUGCCAAUAGGACAGAUUGGUCAAGAAAACUUGAUGAUGAUCUUUGGGCUUAUAGAACGGCCUACAAAACACCAAUCGGGAUGUCUGCAUACCGGUUAGUGUUCAGGAAGGCAUGCCAUCUUCCGGUGGAACUUGAGCAUAAGGCCAUGUGGGCUUUGAAGAAGUUUAACCUUCAGUGGGAUGUCACCCCAAACCUAAGGGUAUCACAAUUGAAUGAGCUGGAUGAAUUUCUCUAUCAUGCCUACACAAGCUCGUCCUUUUACAAGGAGAAGAUGAAGUACCUCCAUGACAAGUGCAUCCACAACAAGGAGCUUAAAGUGGGUGAUGUUGUACUAUUGUUCAAUUCUCGGUUACGGAUGUUUUCGGGCAAGUUGAAGUCAAAAUGGAGUGGGCCAUUUGAUGUGGUGAAUGUAACUCCCAUUAGUGCUCUAGAUUUGAAAAAUAAGAAUGAUGAGGUGUUUAGAGUCAAUGGGCACCGGGUUAAACAUUAUCUUGGCAAGGUUGAUGAUGGCCACAUUGUGGAGGUUCUUCAUUUCAAAUGAUUGGUAAUCUGCGUCGUGUCGCGACGUUAAAUCAGGUGCUUCUUGGGAGGCAACCCAUGUGUCUUUUUCUUUUUCUUGUUCUUCUUCAUUAGAUAGACUUUGUUUUGAGCUAACUAGUUUUGAAGUGUAUGCAGGAAUGGGUGUGCAUUGCAGGGACUGUGCAAGAAAAAUUGACUAAUGGUCACAAAAGUGUGGACCCCACCAUAAUUAUGCGGACGGUAGAAUCACUCUACGACCGGACAAGUUUGUGUGUAGUCCCACAACUGAAAGACCAAAAGUGUAUGCUCUCUGAAGAUUGGCCUGUCAAAUUUUAUUAAUAAUUUGUGGCCGAACACAAAAUUGUAAGGUCCGCACAAAUUAUGCAGUCACACUCACUUUUAUGCGAACCACAGAGAUUCUUCAAAGGUUCAGGUAAAGAGUGCGGACCGCACUCAAAAUUGUGUGGGCACACUCAACUUCAUUUUUUACUGUUCGAGUUAACCUAUAAAUAGGGCUUUUCUCCACUUUACACUCUCUGAACUCUCAAGCCCUGGAAAUACUAUGCAUCCUCAUUUGUUCUAAAUCUUACCUCAUUUCAUCAAGUUAGAUCCUCCCCUGCAUCAUUCACUACUGGUAUGUUCAAUCCAUGUUAGAUAUUUGUUCAUUUUUCUUUAUUUGUUUUUGUUUUUUGAUUAAUUUAGUUAUUUUUAGGCCUAAAAAUGUCAAAUGUGCUUAAUAUGUGCUUCAAAAUCAUGUGGGUAGCUUACUAUAUGUUCAUUAAGGACUGGGUAGACCACUAAUCUUGUCAAUUUGUGUAAAACCUUGUCUAAUUUGUUAAAAAUUUGCAUGAAAUGUAAAUCAGUGCCGCGUAAUUUUAAAUUGUGCGGCCACACACAUUUUUGUGCGGUCCGCAAAUCUUAGAGUUAGGGUAAAAUUGGUGCUUGAAAUGUGCGGACCGCACUCACAAUUAUGCAGUCCGCAGUGAAAUUAUGCGGUCCGUAGCAAAAUUGUGCGGUCCACACUGUUGAAUGAUCAGAGAACCUAGCUGUCUGAACCUGGGGUUGUGCGGCUGCACUCAAUAUUUUGCGGUCCGCACUUUUGUUUAUGUGGCCCCACUGGCCAAUCUAUGGUUGUUUCCUGCAAUUGUCAUACAUGCAUUUGUGACCUCCAAUUUUAACUGAUUCCUUUCAUUAUGUAUUGCAGACAAUUGUUAGAUCACGUGGUAGAGUGAUACAUUAAAAGGGAGGGCAGAACCCUCCCGAAGCCGAGGUCGAGGAAAAAGUAACAUACCACUAGCAAUCCAGAGAGCCAUAAGCAAGAAAGCAACCACCAACAGAGUUCCUGAACCCUCUGAGUCCAGUGAGUGUCUCCGUCUAGGGAAGCUUCUGAGGGUGACUCUAUGCAAGCACUGCCUAAUACACAACCUCAACCCGAACAAGCCCCGAGUAGAUUACACUUGAGAGAUGAAUCCUUCUCUACUGCUAGUUCUUCUAAGGGUUUGGAAAAGGGUAGCCAAGAUUCUGAGCCUCUUCUUAAGUAGUAAACGACGACAUGGGCUACUAUAUUAUUCUUGGCAGACCAUGGCUACAUGAGAGAAAGGUUGUGACAUAAACAUACCAUCAACUUCUGAAAUUCCCAACUCUAGAGGGAAUCGAACAGAUAAGAGGACAUCAACCCACAACAAGGGAGAUAAAUUCGAUCUUGGUUUGCAGCAGUAAAGGGAAGGAACAAUUGGCAUAUCAAUUACAGGAAGCAAUGCCCUCUCGCGAAUCAUACGACAAAGGGGAGGAGACGUCGAAAUCCUAUCAGGUACUAAGGUAUUUCUAGGUACCGAAAGAAACAGAUGCAACCAAAUCCAUGAUGGAAGAACUCGAAUAGGUGGCAUUGUUCAAAAAGUUCCUAGAAAGGAAGUUCCACUUGGGGACAAUUGAACCCCGAGCUCAUGUCAGGAUUUAUUGAAUUUCUUAAAAAUAAUGUUGAUUGUUUUGCAUGGUCGCACGCGGAUACGACAGGUAUAGAGCUAAAGGUGGCCAUGCAAAAGUUAAUCCUGGAUCACAGCAUCCCUCUAAUAAGGCAAAAGAAGCGCCCAAUCGUCGAGGUCAGAAAUAGGUUUGUCAAAUAGGAGGUAACUCGAUUACUUGAUAUCGGUUUAAUCCAUGAGGGAAAGUAUCCCGACUGACUAGCUAACAUAGUGGUAGUUCCAAAAAAGAAUAGUAAAUUUUGCAUGUAACAUAGAUUAUAAGGAUCUGAAUAAGGCGUGCCUAAAAGACUUGUUCCCGUUGUCAAACAUUGAUCAAAUGAUUGAUGUAACGGCCGGGCACGAGUGCCUACGUGAAAACUUUGGUACAUUUGGGUUAGGAUUCAUGUCCAUGGAGAAGGAUAAAAAAGGACCAAAAUACAGGUUUAGGAGAUGUGGUCACUUCCCAAUCAUGUCCCACACAUCUCCAAGUCAUUUACCAAGCCAGGGGUUGCAAAACUUCCAAUAUCAUCAGUCCCGAAAUCAGCAAUUGACUUUGAUGAAGAGUUGAUCAGAAUGCCCCAAAAUCUAUUUGAUGAGGUCGAUAUUGUUGAAAUUGAGGAAGAUUCUAGCAAUGAAGAUGUGCAGUUUUUGGGCCGAAUGUGGAGCUUAGCAACUGGGAAGAUACUCCUCUCCCCACCCGAGAGGAGUUUUGGUAGUUUGCUUUAUUUUUCUUUCUGUUAUCUAUAUUAUUCAAGGGUUGUAACCUAGAUUUCACUUCUGCUUGUUUUGAUGGUCGAACCCUUUCUAUCCUUCUAUUUUCAGCGAAACGCAAUUUUUCUUCUUUUAUUGUUGAUAUUCCUAAUAAUUGUUUAAAUUUGUUGGUUCUAAUGACAUAAAAUGCAUAAGGAAUUUUUAGCCAGAUCUUAAAAGCUAGUCUAACUUUGAAAUAAUGAUCCAAGAAGUCGAAUGUGAUGAAGAGGCAGCAUUUGAGAGAAAAGAGGUUGAGAUCUCGUCCCUCCGAAUUGUUAUAGAAGUUGAAAUUGGUAGCGAUGAGUGGGUGGGAAAAGAUUGGAAGCAAAAUGUCAUGAUCAAUUUUAUCAAGAGAAAAUGGCUAGAGGGUACAACAAAAGGUGCAUCCCAGGAAGUUGAACCGGGCUAACUAGUAUUGAAGCGCACCCGUCCACAUCAAGCUGAAGCUAAAACCAAGUUCCCCUCCAACUGGCAAGGCCAGCCCUUUGUGGAAUAUAUAUUGCCCAAUGAUGCUCAAUACUUUAUAGACACAGAGGGCAAAGUUACGGAUAUGGCCAUUGAUGUUGAUGUCGUUAAGAGAUACUAUGUAUGACCUCUUUGCCUUAUCUUCAAUUACAUGUCUUGUACUCGACAUUUUCAAAGUUUGGUAUGACGAAGGUGUUUUAUUCAGCUACCCAAAAACUUUUAUCCUUUGCUAUCUCUUUUGAGACUUAAUUUAAUUUCUUUUAUACCCCUCUUUUGGAAUAAGGAAAUAGAGUUAGAAAACAGAAAAAAAUAAAAAGAAAAACAAAUGAAGAAAAAAAAGAAUAAAGGAAGAUAAAAAAGAAGAAAAAGAAAAGAAAGAAAAAAAAGCAACAAAUUUUAGUUUGGAACUGCGCUUGACCUGAUUCCUUUAAAGGAUACAUAGGCAACCUUACUCUAAGGUUCGGUCCCAUCAAAAUAAAAAUCUGAAAUUCCCAAAACUCAAAGAAACUGAGGCAGAAGUUUUAGUUUUGCAAAAGAUCUGAUUCUAAAAGUUGUAAUUUUGAACCCUUCCAUCGUGAGUUGUUUUGAGACUUCAUGCCACCUUUUCCUUCUAACCCUGUCCAAAAGCCUACACUAUAGUCCAAAGAAAGACCUUUCGACCAAUCUUUGAGGAUGCCAAGUCAAGCGAUAUAGAGAUGUGAUUUACAUCAUGGGUAAUACUUUGUUCAUGGACACAAAAGAAUUUUUUUUAAAAUGAAUAAAAUGAGGGAGUCAUUGGUGAUAACCGUCACGGACACCAUAAGGCGAUGGUGAGCUGAGAGAAAAUUUAUAAUGAGAGAGUCUUAUUGGUGAGGACCCUCAUGGGCACUGUAAGGCGACAGUGAGUUGAGAGAUAAAUAAAUGAGAGAGGCUUGUCGGUGAAAAUCCUUCGGACACUACAAGUCGAACGAGGUUCAUGACUUUACAAAGAGAUUGGAUCAUUGAAAGCCCAGUUUUGAAGUAUGAAGACAUGACAUGAACUGAAUAUGUGAUUGGUUGGACGAAUUAGGUUGAUCAAUCUGAAAUGCAUGUCAUGAUCAUUGGAGUCAACUGUUUCACUCAGAUAAGUCUCUUUUCCAUUCUUCAUCAAAUAAUCAUCUUUGUUCGAAAUUUUCCUUUUAUUUCCUAAUUCUUAAAGUCAUUUCGCUUUGUUUCUUUUGGGUCUAUUUCUCUGAGUCUCUUUCAAAUUAGUGUUUGUUAAACAUGCAAGAAAGGACUUCAAAGUCUGCUAUCGGCUUCUUGAUUGCACAAAGCAAAGUUCGGCAAAGCACAUCACAAAUGACAUGAUUCGGAAGGAGCAAUGUGGUGAUAGAUGAAGUUCAGGGGGAUUAUGUGAUUCUUGAAUUUUUUAGGAAGUGCAAAGGUUCAAUAGUUGCCAGAAUAAAAAUGCAACACAACAAGUGAGUGUAAAGGAUUCGGGUCAUUUAGAGGUUUUUGUUGUCAAGGUUCGAUCAAGAGGUCAAAUAAUUCAUUGUUAGCCCGAAGCAGCUAAUCAAAAUAAAACAUGGCAAUGGUAGAAGCGGACACCUUCAGCAACAAUGCCACAAACUAAUCACCACAUUUUCAAACUCACAAAAUUUCCUUUGAUUGAAAUAAGGGCAGGAAAAUUUGGUAAUUCGUGUGGAUCCUCCAUGAGGAAAGCAUGGUUCAAGGGCAAGAAAUCUUUGUUCACUCUGCAGGGAUCCACCAUAAGAGAAGCAUAGUUCAGGUAAGUUCGUUGUCGACUUUUCAGGACCCUCCUAGAUAAUGGGAUUUAGUUUUAAGUUUUUAGGACCUUCCUAGAUAAUGAGAUUUAGUUUUAUGCUUUUACCUUUAGAAAGUGAAAUUCUGCUUUUAAGUUUUCACUCUUAAAAAUGAGAUUUAAUUUUAGUCUUCACGACCCUCAUGGAUAAUGAAAUUUAGCUUUUAAAUUCUUAGAAAUCUUUUAGAUAACUGGAUUCAACUAACACUCACAAACGUUCCUAGUAUAAACUGAGGCAGGACAUUUUCUUUGUUUUGUUAUGUUUAUAGGCACCCACCUAGGGAACGAGGGUAUUUAUUUCAAGAGUUUUAGAUUCAGUUUUAGUAGCAGGCGCCCACUUGGAGAAUGAUGGAAUUAAUUUCAAGCUUCACGUUUGUAGCAAGCGCCCACCUGGAGAAUGAGGGAAUUCAUUUUAAGUUUCAAGUCAGUAGCAGGAACCCACCUAGAGAACGAGGGUAUUUGUUUCAAGAGUUUUAAGAUUCAGUUUUAGUAGCAGGCGCCCACCUGAAGAAUGAGGGAAUUCAUUUCAAGUUUCAAGUCAGUAUCAGGAGCCCACCUGGAGAAUGAGGGUAUUUAUUUCAAGAGCUUCAAGAUUCAGUUUUAGUAGCAGGCGCCCACCUGAAGAAUUAGGGAAUUCAUUUCAAGUUUCAUGUUAAUAGUAGGCACCCACCUGGAGAAUGAGGGAAUACAUUUCAAGUUUCAUGUUAGUAACAGGCACCUACCUGGAGAACGAGGGUUAUUCUUUCAAAGAUGAAUUCAAGUUCGGAUAAGAACGUCAGUCGCCCACCUGGAGAAUGAGGGUAUUUACUUCAGAAAUUGAUUUCAAACUCAAGUCUACUUUAAGUUCAAGUUCAAGUUCAUUUCAAAUCCAAACAUCAGGAGCCCCUGAAGAAUAGGGUCAACUUUCAAGCUUCAAUUCAAGCUCGAAGCAGCGGAAACUUGACUUGAGAAUGCAUCUCGACAAUUCAAGAUGCAUAACAAGAUCGAAAAAGAUUCAAGAUAGAACAGUAGAUAGGAUUUUGUCAUUUUUCUUGUAAUUUUUAUUUGAUUUUUCAUUUUUGAUGUAAUGACAGGAACCGCGAACCGAAACCUCGACGGCAUUUCACUCGACUCUCCACCUCGGUAUCCUUCUCCAUUUUCCUUAUCUCUGAACUAUACGUGGCCUGAUUCCUUUAUAGCCAAGGAUAUGUAGGCAGCUCAGAUACCAGGGCUCGGUCACAAUAUUUUGCCCCUCUUAGUUUUGUUUUGAAUAAAUGUCGGGUCAGAAAUCAAUUACGUUGCUUACUUGAUUCUUUUCUCAAAAACACUUCAUGUUUCCAAGCAAAGAGAGGCAGUUGUAAGCAUGUAAUUUUGACUCGCCACGUCUUCAAGCUAUAUUAGUAUUCUUAGCAUUUUCAAACAUUUAUUUGAGUUAUUUUAAUAGGAUUUAGCCUAUUCUUCACUUUUAUUUUUAUUAUAAAACAUAAAAUUGAAAACACAAAAAAAGUUUUAUUUUAUUUUACUAUUUUUCUCAUUUAUUUAAGGUCGUUAGUAUUUUAGUAGUAAUAUUAUUACUUUGCGAUGGUUCUAGCCUAAAUUUCUCUACUUUUAUUUCAAUAUAAUCUCCAGAUAAUACCAAAAAUAAUUUCAUCUUUUAAUAUAGUUUAGUUUAAUUAAUUAGAAUUGGUUUUUGCAUUGUGUAGUAUUUUUAUCUUAUAUUAAAGGGAGUUAACUAAGAUUUUGGACUACAAUUUUAAGAGUCUUGGAGCCCAAUUUUAGGACCCAAUUUGGCAUAAUCCAGAGCUUAUUCCCCUUAGCCUACACAACCCCAUCAAAUUUUAUAACCCUAAAACACUAAUUUCAUAAGAAGACAUUUGACCUAGAUAGGAGGAAAGAAGGUCAGCCACCACCGCCACACAACCCUAUCUUAGCUGCCACAGCCGCCGAAUAAUUCUACAGUGCCCAGCGGCCAACCUCUCCUUCCUUACCUCUCAGCCGCCCAACCAAACAAGAAAGAGAACAACCAGCAACUACCGCCAAGCACCACCCCCGCCACCAGAACUCGCUGGAAUCUAGCGAAAAAUAAAGAAAUCAACCGCCUCAUCCUACCACCUUCACCAAAUCAAAAAUAAAAGGACAUCACAGAAUGACCAACAGGAGCUAACUCGCCACCGCCUCACCACGGUCGUCUCCUUCUCUUCACCUGCUAUCGCCACCGCCAGCAGCUCCACUAAAGCUCACCGAAGGUCCGAAAAUCGGAUGUUCCCCACCUUUAGCUAAGCUCUCAUCACUCCUUCUUGAUUUUAUUUGGAAAAAGGCAGCAACACUCAUAGCCCCCUUAUUUUCUUCAUCAUUUUCCAUCUCCGUUCUUAACUUUCUUCUAAAAAUUUAUAGAACAUAUUGACAAAACCAAAACAUAAAUAAGAACAAAAUAUACCUACCGGAAAAUUGUCUUUUCCUUCCUUCUCUUGUUUACUGCUUAAUUCCAUAAGAGCAAAGAGGAGAGUUCUCAAUCCACAGCUGUAGCUGGCUCCAUUUUAAUUUACAUAGUGAACGGUUCAAAUCAGUAGUCUCCUGGAUUUCACGUUUCUUCGCUCGCAUAGGCAAAAUUGAGUCUGUUUUCGGUGCAGAUUCGAGAUUCUGUCUGGGUUUGUAUUUGAGAGUCAUGUCGAUUUGAGUUUCAAUCGUAACUGUGUUUGGUUCCCGUCCGUGUAAUUGUUAGAUGUCUUUAUCAAUUGAAAAUUACAGUCUUUAGGUUCAACUCUUUUUCUCUUACUUUUAUUUAAUGGUGUUGAUUUCUUGUUUAGAAUAUUUAGAUACUAGUAAUGAAUUUUGAAGUUGGUUUCCAAUCUUGAAUAUUCUGUACUGUUUAAUUUCCU
This 24590-nucleotide long non-coding RNA is filed under the name Nicotiana tabacum (common tobacco). Its description in RNAcentral is "long non-coding RNA (NTAB_LNC010312)". The record is from RNAcentral. Lineage: Eukaryota; Viridiplantae; Streptophyta; Magnoliopsida; Solanales; Solanaceae.